AGUGAACGCUGGCGGUAGGCCUAACACAUGCAAGUCGAACGGCAGCACAGUAAGAGCUUGCUCUUACGGGUGGCGAGUGGCGGACGGGUGAGGAAUACAUCGGAAUCUACUUUUUCGUGGGGGAUAACGUAGGGAAACUUACGCUAAUACCGCAUACGACCUACGGGUGAAAGCAGGGGAUCUUCGGACCUUGCGCGAUUGAAUGAGCCGAUGUCGGAUUAGCUAGUUGGCGGGGUAAAGGCCCACCAAGGCGACGAUCCGUAGCUGGUCUGAGAGGAGGAUCAGCCACACGGGAACUGAGACACGGUCCAGACUCCUACGGGAGGCAGCAGUGGGGAAUAUUGGACAAUGGGCGCAAGCCUGAUCCAGCCAUACCGCGUGGGUGAAGAAGGCCUUCGGGUCGUAAAGCCCUUUUGUUGGGAAAGAAAAGCAGCAGGUUAAUACCCCGCUGUUCUGACGGAACCCAAAGAAUAAGCACCGGCUAACUUCGU
RNAcentral lists this ribosomal RNA (491 nucleotides) under uncultured bacterium. RNAcentral describes it as "partial 16S ribosomal RNA". It matches the Rfam family "Bacterial small subunit ribosomal RNA", at positions 29 to 506 of the family's 1533-position model. The record is from RNAcentral.